GACGAACGCUGGCGGCGUGCUUAACACAUGCAAGUCGAACGGAAAGGCCCUGCUUUUGUGGGGUGCUCGAGUGGCGAACGGGUGAGUAACACGUGAGUAACCUGCCCUUGACUUUGGGAUAACUUCAGGAAACUGGGGCUAAUACCGGAUAGGAGCUCCUGCUGCAUGGUGGGGGUUGGAAAGUUUCGGCGGUUGGGGAUGGACUCGCAGCUUAUCAGCUUGUUGGUGGGGUAGUGGCUUACCAAGGCUUUGACGGGUAGCCGGCCUGAGAGGGUGACCGGCCACAUUGGGACUGAGAUACGGCGCAGACUCCUACGGGAGGCAGUAGUGGGGAAUAUUGCACAAUGGGCGGAAGCCUGAUGCAGCAACGCCGCGUGCGGGAUGACGGCCUUCGGGUUGUAAACCGCUUUCGCCUGUGACGAAGCGUGAGUGACGGUAAUGGGUAAAGAAGCACCGGCUAACUACGUG
RNAcentral lists this ribosomal RNA (468 nucleotides) under uncultured bacterium. RNAcentral describes it as "partial 16S ribosomal RNA". It matches the Rfam family "Bacterial small subunit ribosomal RNA", at positions 28 to 507 of the family's 1533-position model. The record is from RNAcentral.